RNAcentral lists this ribosomal RNA (490 nucleotides) under uncultured bacterium. RNAcentral's name for it is "partial 16S ribosomal RNA". It matches the Rfam family "Bacterial small subunit ribosomal RNA", at positions 30 to 507 of the family's 1533-position model. The record is from RNAcentral.
AUUGAACGCUGGCGGCAGGCCUAACACAUGCAAGUCGAAUGGUAACAGGAAACAGCUUGCUGUUUCGCUGACGAGUGGCGGACGGGUGAGUAAUGUCUGGGAAACUGCCUGAUGGAGGGGGAUAACUACUGGAAACGGUAGCUAAUACCGCAUAACGUCGCAAGACCAAAGAGGGGGACCUUCGGGCCUCUUGCCAUCAGAUGUGCCCAGAUGGGAUUAGCUAGUAGGUGGGGUAACGGCUCACCUAGGCGACGAUCCCUAACUGGUCUGAGAGGAUGACCAGCCACACUGGAACUGAGACACGGUCCAGACUCCUACGGGAGGCAGCAGUGGGGAAUAUUGCACAAUGGGCGCAGGCCUGAUGCAGCCAUGCCGCGUGUAUGAAGAAGGCCUUCGGGUUGUAAAGUACUUUCAGCGGGGAGGAAGGGAGUAAAGUUAAUACCUUUGCUCAUUGACGUUACCCGCAGAAGAAGCACCGGCUAACUCCGUG